This 428-nucleotide ribosomal RNA is filed under the name uncultured bacterium. Its description in RNAcentral is "bacterial SSU rRNA". It matches the Rfam family "Bacterial small subunit ribosomal RNA", at positions 40 to 507 of the family's 1533-position model. The record is from RNAcentral.
CGGCAGGCCUAACACAUGCAAGUCGAACGGGUGCCUUCGGGUGCUAGUGGCGGACGGGUGAGUAACGCGUGGGAACAUACCCUUUGGUACGGAAUAGCCUCGGGAAACUGAGAGUAAUACCGUAUGUNCCCGUUCGGGGGGAAAGAUUUAUCGCCAAAGGAUUGGCCCGCGUUGGAUUAGGUAGUUGGUGGGGUAAUGGCCUACCAAGCCGACGAUCCAUAGCUGGUUUGAGAGGAUGAUCAGCCACACGUGGGACUGAGACACGGCCCAGACUCCUACGGGAGGCAGCAGGUGGGGAAUCUUAGACAAGUGGGGGAAACCCUGAUCUAGCCAUGCCGCGUGAUCGAUGAAGGCCUUAGGGUUGUAAAGAUCUUUCAGAUGGGAAGAUAAUGACGGUACCAUCAGAAGAAGCCCCGGCUAACUCCGUG